This 957-nucleotide ribosomal RNA is filed under the name Escherichia coli. RNAcentral describes it as "bacterial LSU rRNA". It matches the Rfam family "Bacterial large subunit ribosomal RNA", at positions 1 to 989 of the family's 2925-position model. Lineage: Bacteria; Pseudomonadati; Pseudomonadota; Gammaproteobacteria; Enterobacterales; Enterobacteriaceae. The record is from RNAcentral.
GGAUUGUGAGGUUAAGCGACUAAGCGUACACGGUGGAUGCCCUGGCAGUCAGAGGCGAUGAAGGACGUGCUAAUCUGCGAUAAGCGUCGGUAAGGUGAUAUGAACCGUUAUAACCGGCGAUUUCCGAAUGGGGAAACCCAGUGUGUUUCGACACACUAUCAUUAACUGAAUCCAUAGGUUAAUGAGGCGAACCGGGGGAACUGAAACAUCUAAGUACCCCGAGGAAAAGAAAUCAACCGAGAUUCCCCCAGUAGCGGCGAGCGAACGGGGAGGAGCCCAGAGCCUGAAUCAGUGUGUGUGUUAGUGGAAGCGUCUGGAAAGGCGCGCGAUACAGGGUGACAGCCCCGUACACAAAAAUGCACAUGCUGUGAGCUCGAUGAGUAGGGCGGGACACGUGGUAUCCUGUCUGAAUAUGGGGGGACCAUCCUCCAAGGCUAAAUACUCCUGACUGACCGAUAGUGAACCAGUACCGUGAGGGAAAGGCGAAAAGAACCCCGGCGAGGGGAGUGAAAAAGAACCUGAAACCGUGUACGUACAAGCAGUGGGAGCACGCUUCGGCGUGUGACUGCGUACCUUUUGUAUAAUGGGUCAGCGACUUAUAUUCUGUAGCAAGGUUAACCGAAUAGGGGAGCCGAAGGGAAACCGAGUCUUAACUGGGCGUUAAGUUGCAGGGUAUAGACCCGAAACCCGGUGAUCUAGCCAUGGGCAGGUUGAAGGUUGGGUAACACUAACUGGAGGACCGAACCGACUAAUGUUGAAAAAUUAGCGGAUGACUUGUGGCUGGGGGUGAAAGGCCAAUCAAACCGGGAGAUAGCUGGUUCUCCCCGAAAGCUAUUUAGGUAGCGCCUCGUGAACUCAUCUCCGGGGGUAGAGCACUGUUUCGGCAAGGGGGUCAUCCCGACUUACCAACCCGAUGCAAACUGCGAAUACCGGAGAAUGUUAUCACGGGAGACACAC